UUUUAUUUACUAGAAGUCUCUCACCUCUCAUACUCAUGCACCUUAAUCAUACACACAGUGGAAAUCUAUAAAGACUUUAGAAUAAAAGGAGCACGUUUCAACACUGCCUUUAGAACACAAAGAUAUAUCUGUGAUUUUGAAAAUAAGAAAGUUUUAUUGUUUUCAUUUGACCCAGGUCUUGAGCAAGGGCUUCAGGGAGAGGCUCAGACAGAAGACCGGACACCACAGAGGAUGAUGCCAGAGGGCCCCUCAAAAACUUCUGGGCUCCCGAGGCUCCUAAUCACGCUUGAGGGUGAACCUUCCGGGGAGACCCUCCCCCAGCCCAGCCCGAAAAGUCUCACCUCCUCCUCUAGGAAGUGGUUCUCCAGGAAGUCACAGAGAUGGCUCUCUCCACGCGCACGCAGAUCCCGAAGGGCUUGGUUCAGGAUCUUCCCCAGAACCUUGGCGGCUUCCUUGGCCUCCAGGGUUUUACCCCCACUCCUCUCGCGACGGCUUCUGUACUUUCCCCGAAAAGGGCACGCAGCCGCCCCCUCCCCCACGCUGUUUUUGCAUUUUCAAGGGACGCUGGGUGAUCUCCCUUCUCCUCGCCAACGGGCAGAAGUGGCCCACGCCCUGCGGAGCCACAUCCUCCAGGCCAGAUAGAAGCCCAGAGAAAGGCAGACAAGUACAUCUGUGUGAGGGACUCCUGGGUUCAAAUAUUUUCUGCUCCUCUCACAUAUGGACUUUUGUCAAGAAUAGCUGCCCUGAACUUCUCCAGCAGAUGGAAGGCAUGCAGUGGACCUGAGGACGGAAUGUAAUGAUGCUCAUCGGUACAUAAUGAAGCACAUUUGAAGAGCUGACAUCCUGAGUUGUUAUGGAGGAGGUGUCCAAUAAGGUAAGUUCCAGAGAAGAAAACAAAACACAUGGCUUAUUCUUAAUUAUUUAUAAUAUAUAAAGCAUUUGUAUAUCUACACAUUACACAUUUUAUAUUUUUUAGUUUGUUUCUUAUUUUCAAUUAUAUGUUUGCCUGAUCCAAAAUAAGGU
This is a long non-coding RNA of Acinonyx jubatus (cheetah), 1023 nucleotides long. RefSeq lists it as uncharacterized. The transcript is spliced from 4 exons. The record is from RefSeq and is a predicted model, not a curated record. NCBI's taxonomy places the organism in Eukaryota, Metazoa, Chordata, Mammalia, Carnivora, Felidae.